This 439-nucleotide ribosomal RNA is filed under the name uncultured bacterium. RNAcentral's name for it is "partial 16S ribosomal RNA". It matches the Rfam family "Bacterial small subunit ribosomal RNA", at positions 339 to 795 of the family's 1533-position model. The record is from RNAcentral.
CUACGGGUGGCUCCAGUGGGGAAUAUUGCACAAUGGACGAAAGUCUGAUGCGGCAACGCCGCGUGGAGGAUGACACAUUUCGGUGCGUAAACUCCUUUUAUAUAGGAAGAUAAUGACGGUACUAUAUGAAUAAGCACCGGCUAACUCCGUGCCAGCAGCCGCGGUAAUACGGAGGGUGCAAGCGUUACUCGGAAUUACUGGGCGUAAAGAGCGUGUAGGCGGGUGCAUAAGUUGGAAGUGAAAUCCUAUGGCUCAACCAUAGAACUGCUUCCAAAACUGUACACCUAGAAUGUGGGAGAGGUAGAUGGAAUUUCUGGUGUAGGGGUAAAAUCCGUAGAUAUCAGAAGGAAUACCGAUUGCGAAGGAGAUCUACUGGAACACUAUUGACGCUGAGACGCGAAAGCGUGGGGAGCAAACAGGAUUAGAUACCCCAGUAGUC